This 579-nucleotide long non-coding RNA is filed under the name Cricetulus griseus (Chinese hamster). Its description in RNAcentral is "lncRNA (ENSCGRG00000024431.1)". Lineage: Eukaryota; Metazoa; Chordata; Mammalia; Rodentia; Cricetidae. The record is from RNAcentral.
CUCCGCUCUUCCUCCAGCAGCACAAUGUGAUCCACCAGCAAGGAAUGACACCAAUGGAAGGUGUCCAAUAAGGUGGCAGGCAGAACACUGGCAGCUGGCAGAGACCUCCCACGUGGCGGUAGAACUAGGGUGUCUUUUGGCGGAAAGAUUUAUCAUAACACUGGACUCUGACUACUGGGUGAACCUUACACAAACCCCUUAGCUUUGUUCCUUCUUCAACUCUCAAGUGGCAUGUUGACUAGGAUGAUUCGUUCGGAGGCUCCUCCAGCCCUCAACAUUCUAAAUUGUCAAGCAGUUUAUACAUCCAACCCAGAAUCGGCAAGGGAAAUGCAACCACAGGUGAGGCGAAGAAAAACGUCUCAACGGCCAACGCAAGCAGCAAGCAGGGUAAAGAACAUUAUUGCAAUACUUGUCUCUUCACAACUUGCCUGAACAGAAGAGGACACAGAAAGAUGAAUGAUAUAUCACUGCAUGAUAAAUUGAAUUAAGAGAAGAUCUUUGAGAAACACACAGGAAAAUAGUAAGUGGGGGGCCAACUCUUAACUCUGCAGUUAAGAGCUCUUGCUGCUACUGUAGAAG